GUAUCUCUAGCUUAGAGGUAGUGUGUUAGGCUAACAAUCAAAUUUUGUCGGUAUGGGUUGCAGGUUCGAUUCCUUUUAGGUUCU
Meloidogyne enterolobii is the source of this 84-nucleotide non-coding RNA. Lineage: Eukaryota; Metazoa; Nematoda; Chromadorea; Rhabditida; Meloidogynidae. The record is from the annotation of a GenBank genome assembly.